GAUGAACGCUGGCGGCGUGCCUAAUACAUGCAAGUAGAACGCACAGUUUAUACCGUAGCUUGCUACAGCAUAAACCGUGAGUUGCGAACGGGUGAUUAACGCGUAGGUAACCUGACAGGGAGCGGGGGAUAACAAACGCAAACGAUAGCUAAUACCGCAUGAUAUUGAUUAUGGCAUGGUAAUUGAUGGAAAGAUGCUAUUGCAUCACUACCAGAGGGACCGGCGUUGUAUUAGCUAGUAGGCGAGGUAACGGACAACCGAGGCGACGAUACAUAAACGCCCUGCGAGCGUGCGAGGCCUCGCUGGGACUGGGACACGGCCCACACUCCUACGGGUGGCAGCAGUACGGAAUCUUCGGGAAAGGACGAAAGUCUGAACGAGAGACGCCGGGGGCGUGAAUAAGGUUGUCGGGUCGUGUAGCUCAGUUGUGAGAGAGGAACGGGUGUCAGUGUCGAAUGUUCACACUGUGACGGUAUCUUAACAGGAAGCGACGGCUAACUACGUG
RNAcentral lists this ribosomal RNA (505 nucleotides) under uncultured bacterium. Its description in RNAcentral is "partial 16S ribosomal RNA". It matches the Rfam family "Bacterial small subunit ribosomal RNA", at positions 28 to 507 of the family's 1533-position model. The record is from RNAcentral.